Long non-coding RNA from Vanessa atalanta (red admiral), 192 nucleotides. RefSeq lists it as uncharacterized. NCBI's taxonomy places the organism in Eukaryota, Metazoa, Arthropoda, Insecta, Lepidoptera, Nymphalidae. The transcript is spliced from 2 exons. The record is from RefSeq and is a predicted model, not a curated record.
CUGAAAUCGGUCAGGUGAAUAUCAUCAAUCCCGAUCGCCUCCACACAAAGGAAAAUUGAAAGUUAUGCAGAGACAAGCGCCGAUGCGUCACCAGGCGGCAGCGAGGCGCGGCGGUAACGGCCUACGCACGUAUAUUAUAAGGGCUCUGCUUCCAGGGAUACAAUAACUUAGAAAUAAAAACUAGAAAUUUUA